RNAcentral lists this transfer RNA (188 nucleotides) under Prochlorococcus marinus str. MIT 9312. Its description in RNAcentral is "tRNA-Ser (CGA) (tRNA-Ser-CGA-2-1)". The record is from RNAcentral. Lineage: Bacteria; Bacillati; Cyanobacteriota; Cyanophyceae; Synechococcales; Prochlorococcaceae.
AGGGGGGUAGCUAAAGUUAUAUACAAACUAAAUACGACUAUAUAGUUACUGCAAUAUUGAGACUCAAACUUAUUCCACCUACUUAUAAAAACUCUAGUCAUAGUAAUGAAAUAUUGAUUAAUCUCAAUAAAAUUACGGAGUGCUUUGAGAGCACUAGGUCGCAGGUUCGAAUCCUGUCGCCCCUACCA